This 72-nucleotide transfer RNA is filed under the name Pectobacterium phage My1. It matches the Rfam family "tRNA". Rfam says of the family: Transfer RNA (tRNA) molecules are approximately 80 nucleotides in length. Their secondary structure includes four short double-helical elements and three loops (D, anti-codon, and T loops). Lineage: Duplodnaviria; Heunggongvirae; Uroviricota; Caudoviricetes; Demerecviridae. The record is from Rfam by way of RNAcentral.
GCCUCCAAAGCAUUAGUGGCGAUGCAGUUGCCUUGUAAGCAUCAGAAUUCGGUUCGAUUCCGGAUGGGGGCA